AUUGAACGCUGGCGGCAUGCUUUACACAUGCAAGUCGAACGGUAACAGGUUAAGCUGACGAGUGGCGAACGGGUGAGUAAUGCAUCGGAACGUGCCCGGUCGUGGGGGAUAACGCAGCGAAAGCUGCGCUAAUACCGCAUACGAUCUGAGGAUGAAAGCGGGGGACCGUAAGGCCUCGCGCGAUCGGAGCGGCCGAUGUCAGAUUAGGUAGUUGGUGGGGUAAAGGCUCACCAAGCCAACGAUCUGUAGCUGGUCUGAGAGGACGACCAGCCAAACGAGGACUGAGACACGGCCCAGACUCCUACGGGAGGCAGCAGUGGGGAAUUUUGGACAAUGGGCGAAAGCCUGAUCCAGCAAUGCCGCGUGCAGGAAGAAGGCCUUCGGGUUGUAAACUGCUUUUGUACGGAGCGAAAAGGUCUCCUCUAAUACAGGGGGCUCAUGACGGUACCGUAAGAAUAAGCACCGGCUAACUACGUGCCAGCCGCCGCAGUAA
Molecule: ribosomal RNA, 493 nt
Filed under: uncultured bacterium
Lineage: Bacteria
Description: partial 16S ribosomal RNA
Rfam family: Bacterial small subunit ribosomal RNA
Source: RNAcentral